This 459-nucleotide ribosomal RNA is filed under the name uncultured bacterium. Its description in RNAcentral is "partial 16S ribosomal RNA". It matches the Rfam family "Bacterial small subunit ribosomal RNA", at positions 338 to 795 of the family's 1533-position model. The record is from RNAcentral.
CCUACGGGAGGCUGCAGUGAGGAAUAUUGGUCAAUGGUCGGGAGACUGAACCAGCCAAGCCGCGUGAGGGAGGAAGGUACAGAGUAUCGUAAACCUCUUUUGUCAGGGAACAAAGGCGGGGACGUGUCCCCGGCUGAGUGUACCUGAAGAAAAAGCAUCGGCUAACUCCGUGCCAGCAGCCGCGGUAAUACGGAGGAUGCGAGCGUUAUCCGGAUUUAUUGGGUUUAAAGGGUGCGCAGGCGGUCUGUUAAGUCAGCGGUCAAAGCCCGGGGCUCAACCCCGGCCCGCCGUUGAAACUGGCAGUCUCGAGUUGGAGAGAAGUAUGCGGAAUGCGCGGUGUAGCGGUGAAAUGCAUAGAUAUCGCGCAGAACUCCGAUUGCGAAGGCAGCAUGCCGGCUCCACACUGACGCUGAGGCACGAAAGCGUGGGUAUCGAACAGGAUUAGAUACCCCUGUAGUC